RNAcentral lists this ribosomal RNA (172 nucleotides) under uncultured bacterium. Its description in RNAcentral is "partial 16S ribosomal RNA". It matches the Rfam family "Bacterial small subunit ribosomal RNA", at positions 335 to 524 of the family's 1533-position model. RNAcentral also lists the same sequence under 1 other name. The record is from RNAcentral.
ACUCCUACGGGAGGCAGCAGUAGGGAAUCUUGCGCAAUGGGCGAAAGCCUGACGCAGCCAUGCCGCGUGAAUGAUGAAGGUCUUAGGAUUGUAAAAUUCUUUCACCGGGGAAGAUAAUGACGGUACCCGGAGAAGAAGCCCCGGCUAACUUCGUGCCAGCAGCCGCGGUAAU